RNAcentral lists this ribosomal RNA (253 nucleotides) under uncultured bacterium. RNAcentral describes it as "partial 16S ribosomal RNA". It matches the Rfam family "Bacterial small subunit ribosomal RNA", at positions 524 to 776 of the family's 1533-position model. The record is from RNAcentral.
UACGGGGGGGGCAAGCGUUGUUCGGAAUUACUGGGCGUAAAGGGCGCGUAGGUGGCCAACUAAGUCAGACGUGAAAUCCCUCGGCUUAACCGGGGAACUGCGUCUGAUACUGGAUGGCUUGAGUUUGGGAGAGGGACGCGGAAUUCCAGGUGUAGCGGUGAAAUGCGUAGAUAUCUGGAGGAACACCGGUGGCGAAGGCGGCGUCCUGGACCAAUACUGACACUGAAACGCGAAAGCCAGGGGAGCAAAUGGG